Molecule: ribosomal RNA, 253 nt
Filed under: uncultured bacterium
Lineage: Bacteria
Description: partial 16S ribosomal RNA
Rfam family: Bacterial small subunit ribosomal RNA
Source: RNAcentral
UACGGAGGGUGCAAGCGUUGCUCGGAAUCACUGGGCGUAAAGCGCACGUAGGCGGAUUGCUAAGUCAGGGGUGAAAUCCUGGAGCUCAACUCCAGAACUGCCUUUGAUACUGGCGAUCUCGAGUCCGGGAGAGGUGAGUGGAACUGCGAGUGUAGAGGUGAAAUUCGUAGAUAUUCGCAAGAACACCAGUGGCGAAGGCGGCUCACUGGCCCGGUACUGACGCUGAGGUGCGAAAGCGUGGGGAGCAAACAGG